This is a long non-coding RNA of Oncorhynchus tshawytscha (Chinook salmon), 1334 nucleotides long. The record is from Ensembl. Lineage: Eukaryota; Metazoa; Chordata; Actinopteri; Salmoniformes; Salmonidae.
CUGAGAAAAAAAUUGUAAUGACUUCCGUUUUAACUAUGAUUUACCACAUCCUGCUGGCGAUGUAUCUGAUGAUGUUGGUCGAGGGAGACACCGCUCUCCUGGGCCUCCACCUCAGCAGGCACCACAUCUGCCUGCUGGUUCAGAUCGCCUGCUACACCUACGACCUCCUCCUCUAGCCCGUGGUGUUUCUGACCACUACUGGACCACACUGGGUCCAUCGGAGACCGCCAUGACCCGGGGUGAAAUUUCCCUUAUGUACAGAUCUAGGAACAGCUUCUCCUCCCCCGAUCCUAACCUUAACCAGUGGUGGGAAAAAUGCAAACCUGACCCAAGAUCAGCAACUACAGGCAACUUCACCCUACACCCUAAAUUUUUUUUUACAAAAUUAAAAAAGCCAGAAAUGUUCAAUAUGCACAAAAAGCUUUAGUUCUCUCUAAUUUUUCACACAUUUGUUUACAUCCCUGUGUUUGAACAUUUCCCCGUUGCCAAGAUAAUCCAUCCACCUGACAGGUGUGGCAUACCAAGAAGCUGAUUAAACAGCAUGGCCAUUACACAGGUGCACCUUGUGCUGGGGACAAAAGGCCACUAAAAUGUGCAGUUGUGUCACAACACAAUGCCACAGAUGUCUCAAGUUGAGGGAGCGUACAAUUGGCAUGCUGAUUGCAGGAAUGUCCACCAGCGCUGUUGCCAGAGAAUGUAAUGUUCAAUUCUCUACCAUAAGCCACCUCCGUCAUUUUAGAGAAUUUGGCAGGACGUCCAACUGGCCUCCCAAUCGCAGACCACGUGUAUGGUUUUGUCUGGGUGAGUGGUUUGCUGAUGUCAAUGUUGUGAACAGAGUGCCCCAUAGUGGCUGUGUGGUCAUGGUAUUGGCAGGCAUAAGCUACAGACAACAAACACAAUUGCAUUUUAUCAAUGGCAAUUUGAAUGCACAGAGAUACCAUGAUGAGAUCCUGAGGCCCAUUGUCGUGCCAUUCAUCCGCCGCCAUCACCUCUUGUUUUAGCACGAUAAUGCACGGCCCCAUGUCACAAGGAUCUGUACAUAAUUCCUGGAAGCUGAAAAUGUCCCAGUUCUUCCACAGCCUGCAUACUCAGACAUUUCACCCUUUGAGCAUGUUUGGGAUGCUCUGGAGCAACAUGUACGACAAUAUCAAGUAUCUUCGCACAGCCAUUGUGAAGUAAAAUAUUUUAAAUUGUUAUUUUUUUGUUCAGUAUGAUCCCUGCUGUAUAAGUAGUUGUUUUUUUUAAACGUUAUUUAUAGUGUUGGUAUAUACUUUGACUGACUGAUGUACAGCUAAUUGCCUAUCAGGGAUAAUAAAGAUAAUAUUAUCGAUCAG